This is a long non-coding RNA of Parambassis ranga (Indian glassy fish), 1877 nucleotides long. Ensembl lists it as uncharacterized. NCBI's taxonomy places the organism in Eukaryota, Metazoa, Chordata, Actinopteri, Ambassidae. The record is from Ensembl.
GGUUGCAGGGGUCAUCCAGCUUAUCCCAGCUGUAACAGGUCACCAGUCUAUCAAAAGGGCCACACUGAGACAAACAACUAUUCCUAUGGCCAGUAUAUUCACCAAUUAACCAUUCUAAGAUGCCAGUGAACCGAGUAGGUCCCACGUGGGCCAUCUCCACACAGAAGGACCCCAGCUGGCUCACAGGUUUAACCCUUCUCUGUACCUUCCCCCAGCACCGCCAUGCCACACAGUAAGGGCCAAGUAUACAGUCCAGCCACAUUGCACCUUUGUGAGCAGUGGUGUCAUAUUCAGUUUUUGCCACAUGGUGGCACUGUGGAUCACACAAUGAGGGAAACAAAAAAAGGAAACACUAACAGGCAGGUGGUUUCAUAUUGAGACUUCUGUGUUACUUAAGGAACUAAGAACUGGUGGAGACACACUAAAAAAGGUAAAAGAGAGAACCAUCCUUUGUCUCACUGCAUUGCACAGAGAAUGGAGCAGCACUUUACCCAGCUUUUAUUUAUUCUGGUGAUUGUAACAUCUGAAUGCAGAGUUGUCUCCUCAGUGACUGAAACUGUGUCAGCUUCUAAAGAGGAAGAUGUAACUCUCUCCUGUUUAAAUUCAACUCUGGUGGAACCAAAGAGCUGCUACAGAGUCAGAUGGAUAAAGCAUGGCGCAGGUACCAGUCAGGAGAAGGUCCUCUCUCUGUGGCCAAAGAAAGUCAGUGCUGACUAUCAUGCACAAGGGGAAUCUGAUAUAAAAGGACAAAGUCGCCUUUUUCUAACAAAGUUACAAAAAUCUGAUGAAGGCCGGUACAGCUGUGAAAUAUGGCGAGGAUGGGACCUUCUACACAUCAGGAACAUAUCUCUAAAAGUGAAAGACUGCAAAGCCCUUCCACCAGUGGAAGCAGAGCCCUCUACACCUGUCCACCUGAGCUGUCCCUUUAACACAACACUGGGACAGCAAGGACUCUACAACGUCUCCUGGGCAAAGCUGAGAGGAGAUCACCCUAUGUCUGUGGACUCUAACAGGGUUGAAAUGAACGGCACAUCACUGCUUCUCCAGUCUGUGAAUACCACUGACAGUGCUUGGUACAGAUGUAGUUAUAUGUACGGACAAACCUGGCGCUGCUUUGACAUCAAGCUGCUUGUCCAAGUGAAACAUGCGUUCACAACCAUCCCAGUUAUUGCAACACAAACUCAACAAGUGACGGCCAAUCAGAUUGCUGGGACUGAUGAGCAGGAGCGGAGCAAUGACGUGUUGGCUGCAGUUGUGGCAUCAGUCAUUUCUGGCAUCAUCCUGAUUGCUGCACUGGCGGGACUGUUCAUUUACAGACGCAGACGUGACAAUCAGAGAGCCAGGCUGCAACCCCAGAUGCUCACCACAGGUUGCAUUGAGGACGGUUACGAGCCUCUGAAUUUGGUAUCAUCACGUGGUGAUUAUGCUCAGAAAGUCAACAGUAUAUACAGAUUUCCAGAUGAAAGCUUGCAUACUUUCCGGCUUUAGUCACUCUUAGACUACUCAAGAAAAAGAAGAUUAUCUUCAUUAAACCCAACUGGAUUAUCUAAUCUGGAUGAUUUUAUCAUGUUGAAAUGUGCAACCUAAAAUCAGAACUAAUCAUUUAGUCUCGUCAAAUGCUUGUAUGCAACUUGUGCUGUUUUCUGGAUUAUCAGUUACUAUUGUCGUAUUGAUCAUUUUGUUGCUUCUGUGCUGAAUGCUUGCACUUAAAAUAACUAGAAGUGAAUAUCACAAUACAGAGAAGAAUGUGCAGUUAUACACUUAUGUUCCCGUGUUGAGCUGCAGAUUUUCAUCCACAGGCAGAUGUGGCAGAUCUAUAUGGAUCAAGUUUCAGUUUCCUUAAACACAUGGUUAAUAAACUGCUAAAGGCUAAAACA